Haemorhous mexicanus (house finch) is the source of this 85-nucleotide long non-coding RNA. RefSeq lists it as uncharacterized. Lineage: Eukaryota; Metazoa; Chordata; Aves; Passeriformes; Fringillidae. The record is from RefSeq and is a predicted model, not a curated record. The transcript is spliced from 3 exons.
GAGUUUGUCCCUUCCUGCCCAGGAUGUGCUGAUGACGUUUUAACCCAUCCUGGAUCUCCCGCCUUUCCCAGCAGCCCAGGAUUCC